AGGUAGUGGUGGAUGGAUCAGGACAGUGUCAUUCUACAGACACAGUGAAGAGCACUCUGGACCCCAAAUGGAACCAACACUAUGACCUGUACAUAGGGAAGACAGACUCCAUCACCAUCAGUGUGUGGAACCAUAAGAAGAUCCACAAGCGGCAGGGCGCCAGUCUUCCUGGGCUGCAUACGACUGCUGGCUAACUCCAUCAGCAGACUGAAAGAUACUGGCUACCAGCGGUUGGAUCUGUGUAAGCUGAAUCCAUCAGACAGUGAUGCAGUACGGGGACAGAUUGUAG
Long non-coding RNA from Oncorhynchus nerka (sockeye salmon), 289 nucleotides. RefSeq lists it as uncharacterized. The record is from RefSeq and is a predicted model, not a curated record. NCBI's taxonomy places the organism in Eukaryota, Metazoa, Chordata, Actinopteri, Salmoniformes, Salmonidae. The transcript is spliced from 3 exons.